AUCUUUGCAUGAAAAUUUUAUUUCUUCAAACCAGCUUUCCAAUGACAUCUUUUGUUUUCCAGAAAACCUUCUACAACUUUUUGUAUGCUUAAAAGAGUGACAGUCAGUAAACAAAUUACAUCCUAACUUCAAACAACCUUAACUUCUUUAUACAAAACUCAAAUAACAAACUUUAUACACCAAAAUUAUAGCCCAAAAUACAAGCU
RNAcentral lists this long non-coding RNA (206 nucleotides) under Physcomitrium patens. RNAcentral describes it as "long non-coding RNA (PPAT_LNC009037)". Lineage: Eukaryota; Viridiplantae; Streptophyta; Bryopsida; Funariales; Funariaceae. The record is from RNAcentral.